GCAGGUGUGGGCGCGGGGCCGCGCGGCGGGCCGGCGGGAGUGGCGGGCGCUCGGUGCAUGGGCCAGUGAGGGCGCGCGGAGAUCCCCCGGCCGCGGCGGAGGCGGAGCGGCGCGGGAGCCAGGCGCUGCCCGCGACCCUGCGUCCGAGCGAGCGGAACCCUGCGCUUCGCCCGGGGACGGUCCGAAGUCCGCGCUAUGGAAGAGGAGAAAUAUUUGCCUGAGCUGAUGGCAGAGAAAGAUAGCCUGGAUCCAUCUUUUGUGCAUGCAUCGCGCCUUUUGGCGGAAGAAAUUGAAAAAUUUCAAGGUUCUGAUGGAAAAAAGGAAGAUGAAGAAAAGAAGUAUCUUGAUGUCAUCAGCAACAAAAACAUCAAGCUCUCAGAAAGGGUACUGAUUCCUGUCAAACAGUAUCCAAAGUUCAAUUUUGUGGGGAAAUUGCUUGGACCAAGAGGAAACUCCUUGAAGAGGCUACAGGAAGAAACAGGUGCUAAAAUGUCUAUCCUGGGCAAAGGAUCAAUGAGAGAUAAAGCGAAGGAAGAAGAACUAAGGAAGAGUGGGGAAGCCAAAUAUGCCCACUUGAGUGAUGAACUUCAUGUAUUAAUUGAAGUGUUUGCGCCACCUGGGGAAGCUUAUUCACGUAUGAGUCAUGCAUUGGAAGAGAUUAAAAAAUUCUUGGUUCCUGACUACAAUGAUGAAAUUCGUCAGGAACAACUACGUGAAUUGUCUUACUUAAAUGGCUCAGAGGACUCUGGUCGUGGCAGAGGUAUUAGAGGCAGAGGGAUCAGAAUAGCUCCCACAACUCCUUCAAGGGGCCGUGGGGGUGCCAUUCCUCCUCCCCCGCCACCUGGACGAGGUGUGCUCACCCCUCGAGGGACCACUGUGACCCGUGGAGCUCUUCCAGUGCCCCCUGUAGCAAGAGGUGUCCCUACCCCACGAGCCAGGGGGGCACCAACAGUGCCAGGAUACAGGGCACCCCCUCCUCCAGCCCACGAGACUUAUGAGGAAUAUGGGUAUGAUGAUGGCUACGGGGGUGAAUAUGAUGACCAGACAUAUGAGACUUAUGAUAACAGCUAUGCCACCCAAACGCAAAGCGUGCCUGAGUACUAUGACUACGGUCAUGGAGUAAGUGAGGAUGCCUAUGACAGCUACGCACCAGAAGAAUGGGCCACAAGCCGCUCCAGCCUGAAGGCACCGCCGCCAAGGUCAGCCAGAGGGGGAUACAGGGAGCACCCCUAUGGUAGAUAUUGAAGGUCUCCUCACCGUGACCUCACCUCAAAGACAAUUCAUAGCCUGUGGUCUCCACAUAAACAGCAACGAGACAAGUACACACAAGCAAAGAGCACAUAAUUGAAUGGCAGAUGCGAUGGGCCAAGAAAGAUAGAGGUAAGCUUAUUUUUGAUCUACUCUGAAAUAGAUACUCGUUACCAACCAGAAGCUAUGGCAGUGAGCUAAACACCAAAUGACCCUGUUGAAAUACUGAAACGGUUGAGAUUGUUGUCAAAGAACUGAGUUAUUUUUAUCUUCUUUGAAAUAAAGUGAUCUAACUUGCUAUUUACCUGGCAAGGCUUUCUGAGCUUAUUCAGAAGCUUGUCAAAGGAAAUGUGAAUUAGUGGUUAAUCUUCAGCCCUUUUCUUUGCUAUGAACUACGAUAUAUUACCUCUCCUUACUUGUACAAAGAAAGAAUAUUAAAACUUCUACUCUGCGAUCAAGAGAAGAAAAUCACAUUUGUCAGGUGAGAUGGAGGGACGGGAAAGGGAACCCCAUAACCAACCCCUUGCCUACCCUUUGUCAAUGAGAUAAUGUAUUAACAUUUAUUUGGUCAAAUAAAAUAAACAUUACCAUUAUUCUCCCCAUUGAUCUCACCAUAUUUAUCCCUAACUUUUUCCUCAUCUGCCAUUCGCACACAGGGAGUUGAAAACCUUAGCCAGUAAACCUCAGACUGAAAACAGCGCCAGGGCAGUUACGAAGUCCACAGACUGACCUGACACUUAGAAUUGAAAUGGCCUUGCCACGACGUUUGAAACAGGGCUAAAAACCCAAGUUUUCUCCUUUUGGAUCUGGCUUUCUUUUUCCUACACAAAUAUGGCCUUUAGAGAAGUGCCACAGGAGAGGUCUGAGAGAGCCUGGAGCUUCCUUAUGACUGGAGGUAGGACAGAGACUGGGGGACCUUUGCGGGUGGACUGGAAUGCAGGGGGUAGCCUGUCCGUGAGGAGGAAGGGAGCACCGCCUGGUGAGGGGAAUAGGCUGCGUCAACUCAGGAAGUGUUUGAGAGAAAGGAGAAGGUCAGUGAGUCCUGAGGGCCAGAUUCAGAAAGGUGCAGAGCGAAAGCAGAGCCUGGAGAGGUGAGCCGCAUCAGCUCCCAGUUGGCCCUGAGUACUGUGUUAAAGCAUUCAGAUUUUAUGGGAACAAUAAAAUGAAGCCGCUGUAGGUUUGAAGUAAAGAAUGAGAGCUAUUCCUAAGGAAACCAUCACAAGCAACCAGGGAAAACCUCACAUUUAGUCAUUUUUACAAUUACCAACUGCCUCUUCAUCCAAGAUAGCUUUUCUAAAAUUCAAACUGUUAAAAUAGUUAUUUAAUACCACAUGUGCUUCAACUCAUCAAGUCCCUUUGUUAAGCCGCAGAAUCAAAGAUUGAAAGUUAUAAAGAAUGCAAUUCUCAAAUUUUAUUUAUCAGUAACAUUCCUUAUCUGAUUUGAGUCUUAAAAAUGUUACAGUUUUUAUAAGGCAAGGAAAGGGAGAAUCUCUAAUCCAGAUAUCUUGCAUAUUUUUCUCCUUUGAUCCUUUGCAAACAAUAAGCUUGAGCUUGUAAUGAAAGAGAAAGCGGUCACAGUUUGUUACUAUUUUGAUAUAUUAAUCAAUAUUUUUGGAUCCAUUGUACUUAUUUUAUUGUUACUGUUUUUAUUGUUUUAUAAUCCUGUGGAUCUCUUACCAUUCAGACGAGAUCUUUGAUUGCAUUAACUCAGGGCGGAGCUAUCACAGCCGAAACCCCAGUGCUGAACACGAGACGAGAACCUUCUUGACUUUUGUGUUUAAAAGUCAGAGUUCUUAAAGCUCAAAAACAAUGAUUUGUGAGAAAGGGGAUUUUGAGCUUCAAAAGCCUGCAUUUUGAGUAACAUGACUCUGAUGGACUUUGGACAUAAAGUGUGUGUGUUAACAGUAUAUUUAAAAGACUCUCAUUCAAAAAUUAAUUACUUAAUAAAAGUCUCCCAUCCACCUGCCUCCGUGCAUCUACAAGAUAAGAUUGUCCAGCAUAAGAAGAGAGCUCCAGAGGCAGCAAUAUCUGAUAUAGUGGUGUAAGAUGUUAGUGUGGCCUUGAGUAUGGGGUCUGUGCACCGUUAUCAGUUACCCAACAGAAGCCUCAGCUAGGCUUGGAACACAGAGGGGACCUUUGUCUCAGCGGCACCCGGGAAGGCAGCGAGCUUCACCAAGUCCCCCCACCAGUGUGAUCCAUGUGCAGUCCUGUAGAACAAUGUUUCUUUAGAAUGUUUCUCCAUCCUGGCAAGUGUGGAGCGGGUGUGGCAGAGACAGCCACACACAUUCGCCUCUGCAGGAAGGCAGGGCAUGGUGCCGUAGCAUUGGCAUGGACCAACACUGACCAGGAUCCUGAUGGAUCAGUGGACACAACGUGGAAAGGUGAGAAGAUAUCUGCUCCCUGCCACCAACACCCAGGAAAGAGAGGGGGAAAAUAAAUCCCCGAAUUGAUAGAGGAACACCUGAUGAAAAUUAAUCUGAAUUGACUGAGAUUAUUUUUCUCCACCUGGGAGAAUGGGGACUUGAGACUGAAAUCAAGCUGAGGUAUAGAAAAAUAUAACCGUAUACUCAUUGUAGUCACUUAUUGCAUAACUUGCUUGACUCUUCAUCAGAAAUGAAUACAGUAGGUUUCUCUGGCAACAGGGAAUGAGAAUUUCCGUAAGUUAGCGACCUCUUGGCAGAAACGUUUGAUGGAAUGAAAACUGUUCAGAGAGUGGUCCUAACUAAUGAACAUCUGCCCUGUCACAGAUGCCUUCUUCUCUUGACAGUUUCAGAGAGUGAUGCUGGGUCCCAUUUGGAUCCCCUCAUGACAUAAUGUCUGUUCUCACAAAUUUCAAAGUUCUGGCUCCCAAAGAUAGCAGAAGAGGUAACUUGCCACUUCGGCAUUGUCUGUACAAACAUUGUCAUGUCUGACAUCCACCUCAUGCAAGUCACAUAAACUUGAAUGGCAAAUUAGGAUUUUUAAAUUACAGUACAUUCCAUCUAAGUGUAGUUUGAAGUCAUCCGUGCACAUGCUCCGUACACUUGUUCAGAUAAUAUUGUAACUCUUGAUACACUACUGAGCCUAUGUCAGCGGAGAACUCACCAAAACACCGAAGGUAGCUAGCUUGGGCACUAAACAAAGCAUUUUAAAUAGUAGUAAUAACAUUAAUAAGUAAGAAAGUCUUUGUGCCUGCUAACAUUUGUCCAACAAAAAGUUUUACUACACUCAAGUAUGAUUCAAUCAGAAUCAGUUUGAUGCCAUUUAAGAAACCAAAUAAUGCUUGAAGGUCUUAUUUGUAAUACUUAGAUAAUUUUCACUUUCAGUAUGUUAAUGGAACUAAGGCUAUUUCCCUUAAUGACAAUUGAAGCACUAACAGUUUUUAAAUAAAUUUGGCACAGAAUGACAUAUUAAAGGUUCUCAUGAAUUCUUCUAAAGGAAAUAGUUUUUUAAAGUAUAUUGGUAAAAUAUUAUUCUUGGGCAUUUAGUUCUUCACUUAAAAAUAUAUAGACUGGUUUUUUGAAAACCACAAAUGCCCCCUUAAAAUGUAACCCUUUUAAUAUAUAGCAUUCUCUCUCUCUUUAUCUCUAUGUCUCUUGGUUAACAUAAUAAUACCAGUUUGUAGGAUUUUUUUUUUAAGGGAACAGAGAAGAGUGAUCAGUGAUCAGUAAUCUGAGUUCGCCAAAUAUCAAGAGUGAGUCUCUGUAUCAAGGAGCCUCCUGUUACUGAAAAUCCCAUCCAUUGCGGGGUUCAUGGGAAGGUUCCAGUUUUCACUACAAAACGUUAUGUAGCACAUGACUGAAAAUGCCCAACUGUAGGGUAAUUUACAAAAGUGAUUACGUGAUUUCUGUUUAGUGUGAGGGUAUAGUAUUAAUAGUAAUAACAAUGCUAACAGUGGGGCCAUCUGUUUUCUGAACAUACUGCCAGGCAAAGUACCAUAGUUUUCACAUAAAAACCUACAUGAAACAUCUGUAAUCCUUAUAACAAGCUUGCAAAGGAAGUACAAUGAACUGCAUUUUACAGAAGAGGAAGUUGAAGUCCAGAGCUUUAACUAAUGUCACACUGCUAAUACAUAGCAAAGCCAGUAUUUAAAACAAAGUUUGAUAAUCUACACAUUUUCCAAAAUGCUAUAGUGAUUACCAACUUUGCAUGAAUUUGAUUGAAAAGAGAAUCCAAAAUCUCAGAUAGCCUUAACAUAAUUUCUGUUCUGCAGCAAUAUGACGAAUAUUGACUAAAAAUAUGAUUGGUAAAAUAUUUUAACUUGACAUGCAUCUUUGCUUUGAUCUUCCCUCAAAUUUGUCAUUCUUUCAAAAGUUCUGAUUCCAUCAUUGAAAAAUGUAAAUGAAGGUAUCCCACAUUUGUCAUAAAGCAUGACUACAGCCUUUCGUAGAACAAAUGAAUUCAUUUAUAAUCUAAAUGCCAUUUGACUUUAAAAAAAAACACUCGCAUGAUUAAAUAAGCAUGAAAGCAAUUUCAGGCUUUUAUUCUUCCAUCGAUAAAUCAGAACUCUGCUUUAAAGUAGGAGAGUCAAUUUCAAACCAGAAAUAUCUUUGUAUAAGCCAUGCAGUUGUGUGUUAAGAGCACAAUGUGAGGGUGUCGCUCAAUGUUAAAUAUUUUAAAACAAAGUAUUUCCUGUUGCCAAUGUAAUGUGUAACAUUUGUCUGGAUAUUCUAGUUGCCCAUUAAAACAUCUGAGUUAGCAGUAAGACAGCUCUUCUUGUUGGCUGCCAGGCACCAGUCUUCCAUAUUCAUCAUAAAGUUUAAUUUCAUAGUCUCUUUACAUGGAAUUUAUUAAUUGGUACUCAAAAGAUUAUUUACAGUAGAGGGAAAAGGUCACUCUACUUGAUAUGCUGUUUUAUAUAUAUAUAUCAGUCACCCACAUUUUAUUGUGAAAGGAACUGAGAGGAAGCUGCCUGAUUCAAACACCACUGGAUGCCUUAACAACAGCCAACUUGUCUUCCUUUACCAAAAAAGUGCAAAAUAAGACAUCUUAAAAAUUGGUAAUGAGUUCCUGAAUGCUAGUUUUGUUCAAGUUUCUGUUCCACCGUGUUUCAUACUUCACAGGGGGAUAUAGCGAAGGACCUAUUUUCAAGAGAAAUUUGGACAGUCUUGGAUCCUCUUCUUAGACCCUCUCUGGAAGCAAAUGUCACCACUAGAUGCACAUUUCCCGUCACCCUGAUGCAUCUCAGGGUGACUUCCAUCACUAGGAGAAUGUCCCCUCCCCUCUGUCUCGUUCUUUGCGCUAACACAGGUGGACUGUGUUUCCUAUAUUCUAAACUCAUAGGCUGCCUUUUCUGACACCAGGACAUUUUUCAGCUUGUCUGAUACCGUCUUGCCCCUCCUUUCACAGUGUCUUCUGUCAUUUUCCCAACUGCACAAGGGGAUAACAGAAGACAAAGAGAAAGGCAGCUGAUGACUGUAGGGGAGCGAGCACUGUCCAAUCUAUUCGACGGAGCCCCUGCGUUAAGAAACGCUUGUUGUGUUAGUUAUGAAACCAAUACAUGUCUAUUGUAAACCAAAAAGUAUGAAAAGAGAAAAAUUGCAUUUAAUUAAAAUGAAUAAAUGAUAACUGUUAACAUUUAUAUAUAACCUCCUCGUUACAAAAUCGUGAUUUCUCAGCUAUAAAGUAUAAGAGGCGGCAGUAGGUGAGAAAAUGUCUCCAAUUAAUCUAAGUUCUCCAGUCUCAAAGUAUAAAGCUUAAAAUUAGAAAUAACUAAGCUUAUGGAAUUCACUAAGAUCAAUGCAUAAAAUCUGUGAGCAGAAUAAAGCCAAUUUUAAAUGUCUUCAAACAGGGAAGAUUAUAGUUACAUUUUGCAUAAAGACAAUCUUCCUAAUGGAAUUAACAUUGAAUUUUUAAACUAUUUCUUUCAACUUUCCUUUUAGUGGUUUAAGAAUAUAAAUUUAUUGACCAGUAGAUAAUUAUUUAGAAGUAAUAUUAGAUAUGCUGCUUUGUGCUUUCUUAUAAGGCAGCAAUCUUUAAAACAAGUAAUACCACUUUCCAUCAGAGAAACUUCUCUGGAAGCCUUUUAUCAUUGGUAAUCUUUUAACUUCUUAAAGACCUUUAUUUCAUUUCUAGUGAGUAAAUCAUUCAGGCACAAAUAAUGGUUGUCUUAAAAUAUGGCAGAAUUGUCAGUGAAUUGGUAUUUUGGGAGGAGGAAUUCUUUUUUUAUAGCCUGUCUCCUUUUUUGUUAAUUACAAAAGUAAUCCAUGCUCAGGAUUUAAAGAAUGACAAUGUAUAAUGUAAAUAUGCAAUGUAAAAACCCAAAGUCUGUAAUCCGACCCCUCAGAGGAUGUUCUUUCUGAUUUUGUUUCUCUUCCUUUCCCUCUUUCCUUCCUCCGUUCCUCAGCUGCUUGUUACUUAUUUAUUCAUUUGAAAUGGGAUUCUGCUGUACACGCAUAUGCAAUUUUAAUUUUCGGAAAUGAGGUGAAUUUUGUUUCUUUGUGACAAAAUGAGCUAAUACCCACUUACACCGGGUGAUCUGUGUGUGGAGGAUUAAAUCGCGGUGUGAUCAUUUCCCUGUAAAACUGUAACCCUCAGGACGCGCUCUGGAGUGUGAGCAAAGCCACUUGAAGUUUUCAAGCUUCCGUUUUCUUAUAGGUAAAACGGGGAUAAUAAUCACACCUACUCACAGAAUUGUGAGGUGUGUAAAGUAACAUCAUACAGGAGUGUGUAUAUCCUCCCCAAAUUUAGUUAAUAUUCUCACCCAAAUUAUUUUUCCUUGACAAAAAAUUUUAAGAUACCUUCACGGUGUGUAUCAAAAGUGUAAAUGAAAGCUAGUUUAAUCCACAAAAUAUUCAUAUUAUCCAAACCACUUUGCAGCCUACACAUUUUUAAAAUAUUCUUUACUAAAAUAUUCAGCUAAUGUAGGCUUUAGAAAACAGUUGCAGAAAUGCUCGUCAUUAUAUUCAUAAGCAAACAUCUUGGGUAUCUUCAUAACAGGUAUUAUAAGACAUGUUUAUACACAAGAACCUUAUAAUAAUGUUGUACAUAUAUUGUUCACAUUGAAAUAGGACUAAAGAUGAAAGUGAGACUAACAAUAAUUUGGUAAAACUGUUUCAAUAAGAAGAAGAAGGUGCAGAAAAUGCAUGUGCAGUAAUAGAAUGCAUAAUCCAUGUGACGGACUCUAUUAAGUGUUUUUAUGAAUUACUUUAUAUAUUUUCUUGGCAAUCCUACAAUAAAAGUUCUAGGGCAUCCUCACUUCCUAAAUGAGAAAACUGAGUCUGAGAAAGGAGAAGUAACCUUCCCAAGGUCACAUCGGGCAGUGGGGUGGACUCUAAGCCCAGGCUGUCACAAUCAGAGACCUCAUCCUUAACCCCUGCAGACUACCAUCCCCUCUGACUGAUGACAAAGUUUGGUGGUAAACUAAGUUUGAGAGGGAACCAAAAUGUAAAUAUGUAAUUCAUUCUUCAAGCUAGGAAAAAGAAAUUUGAGGAAAUUCUCUUACUAUGAAUAUUGCCAAGAUCAGUAGUACAAACUUUAAAGACUGAUACUAAAUUUCUAAACACCUCUACACGCAUAAGCCAAAAUAUUCAGAAUAUCUUUUCACCCUGAAUUACCUAGAAAGUGCCUUGUAUAAUAAUUCUAAAUUCUGUAUAGGUUGUGCCUGGCUCUAUUGAUAUGACCACCUGACCACUGAUUAAAUGGAAGCCGUGUGUAUCUAAGUAUAGAACUUAGCCUUCAUGGAGGUUGGGAUAUACUAAGUAACAAAAUAACAAAAACAUCAAAGAGUAAAAAUAAACUAGAAAGAUAUAUUUCUAGAAAAAUAGUCAUGGUUACUUUCUCUUAUUUGUUUACUAGUGGCAUGCUCUAUUGUACUGACUUGUCCCAAUCCAUGUGAUUGCAAAAAUAAAAUGCAGUUUUCCUUUACUAUCUCUUGUCUCUAUAUAGAUACAUAUAUAGGUACAACAUAUAGAUAUAUGUCCUAUAUAGAUACAAUAAUAAUACACAUUAUUGAAAUGUAUUUUAUACUUUAUUAUACUUAAUAAUAGGACACCAGAACAAAAGUGACCAUGAAAAUAAGAAAAGACAUAGAUUUAGAAAGAAAAGGAAUGUAGCCAGAAGGCUGAGAAAGAUGCAUUAGAAGUGGUAAGAUGAAACAUCAAUAUGAGAAAGAGAAGCUGGACCACCCCUUGCAAACUUCAAGGAAUGUAAUGUCCUGAGAUCUAAAAGUUCCCAUAAAUUACCGUCAUGUGCAACUUAUCACAUAAGGCAGUAACUUUAGAAAUUAAAAAUACGCCUCCCCUUUAUGGCAAACACAGGACAUUCUGCUAUUGACUGCAGCUGGAGCUUCACUUGUCUGUUCCAGAGCAAUUGCUUUCAUAGAUCAUUCCGUUUUCCCUUCACUUCCACCAGCAGAUUUUUUUUCCCAUUUCAGAAAAUUUCUUUGGUGAGUAAGGAACAAAAAUUUGCACCAACCUCUCACAGUGUACAUUAGUUGAAAUUUGUACUUUUAGAAAAAUGCUGCAUAUCAUGCACCUUCAGAAUUGUUCAGGGAUAUUAAAAUAUAAGAGUACUAACUCUAUGAAUUCCAAGCAUAUGCCAAAGUAAUUUUAUCACAUUGCUUUACAAUGAUAUUGAUGUUUGAGAGAUACUGUGCUCCAACCUACACUUUAAGAAGCCUGUAGUUUGGAAAACCAUAUACUGUGAGUAAAAAAUAGACCCUGUCGGAAGCAUUAACUCUAUAAGACUCUCAAUAAUAAAAGAUGCUUAUUUAUAAUAUUUAGAUUAUUAGGAUGAUGUCUAACAUAGGAUAUUAUAAAAGGUUAAUUACUAAUAAGUAAAACUUAAUGAUGAGUUGAUUUGCUUGUUCAGAAGUAGGAGACCAUUAAUUAAUUCUCUCAGGAUUUAAGUCCAAGGUGUUUUGUGUAUUUUAAGUAACAUUCAGAUGAUUUACUGAACCCACGUAGUUUUCCAUCCCUAAUUUACCAGUUCCUUACAUCACUCGAGGAAACACUUUAACCUGCAAAUGAGACUAGAAAUGAUAGGCUGGGACUAAGUGAAACAGGUUCAAAAGAAAGUGGCCGUAUGACAAUUUACAGCUAAAAGAUAUUCAGUGGAUGCCAAAUAGUCUGCUGAGCUAGUCACAUAAGGAAAAAUGUCAUCAAGCAAAGCAUCUUGGUUUAAAGAUGUUCAAGAAAUAUUUUGGGAAAGAACAGCCAGGCUUUACCUCUCUGAUAACAAAAAUUGGAGCCCUCUUGGGAAAAGGCUUAACUUUUUAAAAUCUUAGCUAGUAUAUUGAUCCAAAUUGAUGGAAGGUGUUUAUCAAAUGUAACUAAAUGAAUCAAUAUCAACUUGCUUCUAUCGUUUUCUAAUCUGAUAUUUACGUACUAUAUGUGAUAUAUGUAAAUUAUGUCUAUUUAUAUGUAAAAUGCUAAUAUUGUAUAUGACAUUAUAUGUAUGUAUAAACAUGUAUGUGUAUGUAUAGCCAGCCAUGGUGGUCCGCUGAUUAAGAUUCAGUGCUCUCACUGCUGCAGUCGAGGCUCAUUUCCAAUCAGGGAACCACACCACCCAUCUAUCGAAUGUCUUACUGUGGCAGCUGCACGUUGCUGUGAUGCUGAAAGCUAUACCACCAGGAUAUCAAAUACCAGCUGGGUCACUCAUGGUGGACAGGUUUUAGUGGAGCUUCCAGACUGACUCAGAAAAAGGACCUGGCCACCCACUUCCAAAAGCAUUGGUCAUGAAAACUCUAUGAAUGGCAGCAGAGCAUUGCCUGAUAGAGCAAUGGAAGGUGAGAGGAUGGCACAAAAAGACUGAGCAGGGUCCCGCUCUGCUAUACACA
RNA transcript from Equus caballus (horse), 11005 nucleotides. It is a transcript of the gene named KH RNA binding domain containing, signal transduction associated 2, with no coding region annotated. NCBI's taxonomy places the organism in Eukaryota, Metazoa, Chordata, Mammalia, Perissodactyla, Equidae. The record is from RefSeq and is a predicted model, not a curated record.